This 418-nucleotide unclassified non-coding RNA is filed under the name soil metagenome. Its description in RNAcentral is "partial contains 5.8S ribosomal RNA, internal transcribed spacer 2, and large subunit ribosomal RNA". The stretch from base 1 to 120 matches the Rfam family "5.8S ribosomal RNA", at positions 35 to 154 of the family's 154-position model. The record is from RNAcentral.
GAUGAAGAACGUAGCGAAAUGCGAUAAGUAAUGUGAAUUGCAGAAUUCAGUGAAUCAUCGAAUCUUUGAACGCAUCUUGCGCUCCUUGGUAUUCCUUGGAGCAUGCCUGUUUGAGUAUCAUGAGCAAAUCUCAAAGUCAAUUCCUUUUGUUAAUUCAAUUGGUUUUGCUUUGGACUUGGAGGUCUUGCAGAUUUCAUAGUCUGCUCCUCUUAAAUGCAUUAGCUGGAUCUCAGUAAUUAUGCUUGGUUCCACUCGGCGUGAUAAGUAUCACUCGCUGAGGACACUGUUAAAAAGGUGGCCAGGAAAAUACUGAUUGAACCGCUUCUAACGGUCUAUUAAGUUAGACAAUUACCCUUAAGUUUGAUCUCAAAUCAGGUAGGACUACCCGCUGAACUUAAGCAUAUCAAUAAGCGGAGGA